RNAcentral lists this unclassified non-coding RNA (223 nucleotides) under Aliivibrio wodanis. RNAcentral's name for it is "putative sRNA". Lineage: Bacteria; Pseudomonadati; Pseudomonadota; Gammaproteobacteria; Vibrionales; Vibrionaceae. The record is from RNAcentral.
UAGAUACCCACAACCUAACUCAUCAAGUUGAAGAAAAGUAAACCAGGUCGAAAAGUAUCAAUAUUAAAAAUGGUUCAUGGAUCUUCUAGGUUCAACUUAGCGCCUUCCAAACCCAAUGCAACGGUCUCUGCUUGACCUCUCGUUUCUUUAGUUAACGUAAUAACUUGAUAAUAAUUUUAUUUUACUCUGACCCUAUUUAUGCUCUAUGCUCUAUUUAUGCUCU